GUCUGGUGGUCUUACUAUAUCUUUUAUUUUGAUGACAUUUUCAUGAUCCAUGUGAGAAAGAAGUUUGAUCUCGCGAAGGGUCCUCUUUGCAUCAAUUCUAUUUUCAAAUGCAUUCCCAAUUUUUUUGAUUGCUAUCUCCUCCUUCGUCUCUGAAUUUGUAGCACAGCAUACGAUUCCGUAAGCUCCACGGCCUACAGGUUGAAUUGGAGGGACAUACUUUGAGGUAACUUCAAAUAAGUUACCCACAACAUUGUACUCAACAUAUUUACCAUCCCGAGUUGGAAUUCCUUUGAUUUCCACUGAAUUUUCAAUGUUUUCAGCAUCCAUUUUUGCUCUAUUCGUAACCCUUUUU
RNAcentral lists this unclassified non-coding RNA (352 nucleotides) under Hevea brasiliensis (rubber tree). The record is from RNAcentral. Lineage: Eukaryota; Viridiplantae; Streptophyta; Magnoliopsida; Malpighiales; Euphorbiaceae.